GUGCCAGCCGCCGCGGUAAUACGAGGGGUGCUAGCGUUGUCCGGAUUUACUGGGCGUAAAGGGUACGUAGGCGUUUUAAUAAGUUGUAUGUUAAAUAUCUUAGCUUAACUAAGAAAAUGCAUCCAAAACUGUUAAAAUAGAGUUUGAGAGAGGAACGCAGAAUUCAUGGUGGAGCGGUGACAUGCGUAGAUAUCAUGAGGAAAGUCAAAUGCGAAGGCAGCCUUCUGGCUCAAAACUGACGCUGAGGUACGAAAGCGUGGGGAGCGAACAGGAUUAGAUACCCGCGUAGUCCG
This 293-nucleotide ribosomal RNA is filed under the name uncultured bacterium. RNAcentral's name for it is "partial 16S ribosomal RNA". It matches the Rfam family "Bacterial small subunit ribosomal RNA", at positions 505 to 797 of the family's 1533-position model. The record is from RNAcentral.